Suricata suricatta (meerkat) is the source of this 962-nucleotide long non-coding RNA. RefSeq lists it as uncharacterized. The record is from RefSeq and is a predicted model, not a curated record. NCBI's taxonomy places the organism in Eukaryota, Metazoa, Chordata, Mammalia, Carnivora, Herpestidae. The transcript is spliced from 3 exons.
GUGCGCCUGCUUGUAAACGACCGCAUCGGACCAGAGGAACUGCGGCUCCUCACGUCCGCUUCAGGACGGGCCAGAAACCCCAGACGUCCCGUCGCCUUCUCGCCUCUUUCGCUGAGAGCUGCAGAUCAGUUCACGUUGACAGAUUAGAGGGAAAAUGUGCAAAUGUUUAUGGAUGCCGCACUUGCCACUUGCACGAGUGAGUGCCCUACCUACACCUGUGUCUCCAACAGAUGCCGCACUUGCCACUCGUAUCUCCGUGAAUGCAAACAGUCAAGAUGCCCACUCCAAAGAAACUUCCCAACGACCAACUAAAAGAUAAGGCAGAGUAAACUGGUGCUUAGUUGGAACAGCAAGAUGAUAUGGGUCAAAAAGGAAGGAAGAAUCAUGAUGAAAAUAAUUAAAGGAGGCUUCAUUGAGGAGGUGGUCCUUAUGCUGGACUCUGAUAGAAAAAACAGCAUCUUGACAGAUGAGAACAGCAGGAAAAGACAUGUCAUCCCAUCUGAGCAAAAGCACAGAAGUGUGGAAAGGUAUGUUGUAUGAGGAAAAGCUAAGGCUGCUGAAGAACUUGAGUUUCAGAUUCUAUAGCCACUGAGAAGCCAGGUGUUAAGCUGUGUUUUAGGAAGACGACGCUGGCAGCAGUGUGGGGGAUGCACGGAGAGGUGCGGUUUGGCUGGUGAGGGGGAACGACGGCCAGUGUGUGGAGAAUAGUAUCCUUCCAUGAACAGCAUCCUUUCAAAAGGAAAGGAGAUGGCUUUCUUUCUCUCCUGAGCUGUGAGAGAAACAGUAACAGCGACUCGCCAGAAAUUAUGGCUUAAGCUGGUACAGUUCAUCGCUAAGCUUGGACUUUCCGUCUGCAAAUGCUUGUCUCGAUGUGCUUGGAUUGGAUACCUGGGAGCUUGUUUGGAGGUUCCAGCAGGGGAGCGCAGCUACUCGUAUACCCUUGACCGAAGAACGGUCCUUCU